CUUGGAUGCGAUGAUCCUUGUGGGUCCCUUUAACAUACAUUAUUCACACUAAAAAAAAAAAAAAAAAAAAAACUUUGAAUAGGGAUCUUGGAUGAAAUUCUGCUUAAUUAAAAUCACUGCAAGUUUUUGCCAUUGAUUUCAGUAAAAGCAGAUUUCAGAUGUUAUCAUUUUUCGAUUUAAAAUCCAAAUAACAAUAACAAUAUAAAAUGCCCCACUGGAAUAGGAUUUAUGAUCAUGCAGUUUCUUUUGCCUGCGAAUACUAAUAAAUCUAUUCUGCAGCCUGGUUGUGGCAAUUGCUAUGACUUUCCCCUGCCAAGACUUACACAGAGUGAAAGUACUCCCAGGAUUUUGCAAGAGAAACAUCUGGUACAAGUCCAGGUUAUCACUGUGCAGAGAAAUUCUGAAGGCUUUAUUCAGGUCUUAUGUGGUCCUUUGGCAAAACUUGCAUAGCUAAACUUUUAAUGGAAGACAUCUAAGUGGGGGGAGGGGGGGGGGUUCUUUUUUUACAUAAAGUUAAUACACUUCAUUCUUACUGUUAGCACUCUUCCUAAAGGUCUCAAAGCAAAGAAACCAGCAUAUGAAAUGAUUCAAUAGCAACAAGCAGGGUUUCUUUCUCUUAGAGCAGCACAGUGGUUGUUAAUAGUUUGGAUAUUUGCAGGCCAAAUUUAACAAAUUACCAGUGCCUGAAAAAUUAAGUAUUCUAUUUCCAGUAUUAGUCAUUUUCUCUCAUUAAUUUUCUAUUACUGCCACAGAGCACCCUUAGGUAGGAAGCUGAGCAGGCGUACAUCACUAGCUCAAUCACAGCAACACUAAAAAAAACUCAGAAAAAAAAAAAGUUAAUUUUUACAGUUUUCUGCAGAAUUAUAAGUUAUUUUCAAUUAAGUUUCAAGAACUGGUUGUUUUGAAAACGCCUAUAUAUGAUUUUGCCCUAGCAGAAAACAUCCAUCUCUUCAGCAAAAAGCAUGUGAACUGUUUAACCAGUCAUAUUGUGUUCAUAAAAGUGUUAAUUAGGCUUUGAAGUUGAUGUUGUUAUAAAACACAAUAAUAUAAGGAACAAGUACUCAGCUGAGGCAAGGCACAUUUAUUUUAAAUAUAUAUAUAUAUCCCUUUUCUUCUUCCCACAAAUAUCUGUUUCAGGGUGGACUCUAUACAUCCAUUCUCCCAAAACAAGAUUUCCUGUCACACAGCUGUGUUCACUAGACCCAUCAAAGGAGUUAAUAGAUUAUUAAUAGCAGUUAAAGGUUAUUAUUUGCAAUACCUUGUCCAAGAAAGAAAUCCCAGAAGGAAUCUGAAUUCCCCCUGGAUGCAUUUCAUAUAAAUAUCUUGAAGAAUUGCAGCUCUGCCUUGUUCUACAAGACCAACCAGACCACUGCUUUCUGGAGAGAGUUCUUCUAAAACAAUAGCAAGCUAACAUUUCUGUGCUUACUGAUAAAUGGAGGAACUGAGGAUGUGCUGCGUGUACUGAACAGAUCCUGAGGGUAUAUAAAAGACUUAAAAUCUGGCCAAGUCCUAAAUAUCCAAGAGUCAUUCUAGAUUUCCAGGACAGCAUGAGCGAGGAACACAGACAGCAAGAAGGAUAGUGCUCAGCAUGGAAGCUUGGCAAUACAGCUAUGGAUAUUCUGAAGCCCUAAUAUUUCAUCCCACUUUCUCACAGUGUGUUCAUGUCUCUGGAGUGCUGUGGUGGACACUGACACCACCCCACUAUGGUCACUGCUUCAGGUGAAACAAAAAUCUCAUUUCAAAACAAUAAAAUAAAAACCAGAGGACUAAGCAGACAAAAUUACUUAAAAACAUACUCCUGGGUUUAUGUUUCCAAUUGUUUGUACUUUUCUAUGACCCAUUAGGCACAUUGCUUUUUAAUGCGCAGAAAUCCAUUCCCCUACAGAGAGUCUAUUCUGAAGGUUUUUAUUGUACGAAUUCAACUUAUAAUAAAGGUAAAUACAUAUCAUUUCCGAUGUAAUCAUUAAGUUUUCCCCAUAUGCGGCUUUUAAACAUGCUGUACUUAACAAAAUAUAUAGUUCUUGGAUAUUUACUCAUUUCUACAUUGGAAGGUUACUUGACUGAAAUGUAAAACCUUUUAUUUUUUAAGAAAAACAAUCAGUUUUACCUCUAAAUACACCCUAACCUACA
Oxyura jamaicensis (ruddy duck) is the source of this 2130-nucleotide long non-coding RNA. RefSeq lists it as uncharacterized. Lineage: Eukaryota; Metazoa; Chordata; Aves; Anseriformes; Anatidae. The record is from RefSeq and is a predicted model, not a curated record. The transcript has 2 exons.